AUGGAGCUCAUCACCACCGCCUGGUCAUCCUUUCCCCUGCUCAUCGCGCUCUCCCCCGCCCUCGCCGCCUCGGCCCUCUACUUGCUGCACGGCCGUCACGGGGGGCCGAAGAAGGGGACAGGCAAGGCUCUCCCUCCCGGCCCGCCGGGGCUGCUCUUCCUGGCCAGGUUCCUGGCGCUCCGGCGAUCCGUCUUCCACCUCGGCCCGAUCCUCCGCGACCUGCACGCGCGCUACGGCCCCGUCGUCUCCGUCCGCCUCUCCCGCACGCUCGUCUUCGUCGCCGACCGCCGCCUCGCGCACCGCGUGCUCGUCCAGGGCGGCGCCACCUUCGCCGACCGCCCGCCGCUCUCCGACCCCGGGCUGCUCUUCACCUCCGGCGCCCGCGACAUCAGCACCUCGCCCUACGGCGCCUACUGGCGCAUGGUCCGCCGCAACCUCGCCGCCGAGGCCCUGCACCCGGCCCGCGUCGCGCUCUACGCGCCGGCGAGGCGGCGCGCGCGGGACUCGCUCGUCCGCGACCUCCUCCGCGCGCGCGGCGCUGGCGAUGACGUCGCGGUGAGGCCGGCGUUCCGGCGCGCCAUGUUCGAGCUGCUCGAGGAGGUCCAGGAGCUGCAGCUGCGGAUCCUGCGCUCCAUCACCAGCUUCCCCAUCUUCUCCUUCUUCCCGGUGCUCACCAAGCGGCUCUUCCGGCGGCGGUGGGACGGGUACGUGGCCGUGCGCCGCAGGCAGGACGAGAUCUUCCUCCCGCUGAUCCGCGCCAGACGAGAGCGGGACGCUGACGGCCCUCCGUGCUACGCCGACUCCCUCCUCGCGCUGCGCGUGGCCGAGGAGGGCGGCCGCCCGCUCACGGACGCCGAGGCGGUCUGCCUCUGCUCCGAGUUUUUGAACGGCGGCACCGACACAACGGUCACCUCACUAGAGUGGAUCAUGGCGGAGCUGGUGAAUCGCCCCGACAUACAAUCCAAGGUCUACGAGGAAUUCAAAGACAAGACAGAGGUCGACGACGGGGACCUGCAGUCGACGCUGUACCUAAAGGCCGUGGUGCUCGAGGGGCUCCGGCUGCAUCCGCCGGGCCACUUCCUCCUCCCGCACGGCGUGCAGAGCGACGGCGCGGAGGUCGGGGGGCACGCGGUGCCCAAAGGCGCGGAGGUCAACUUCCUGGUCGCCGACUUCGGGCGCGACGAGGCGGCGUGGACGGCAGCGAAUGAGUUUCGACCGGAGCGGUUCUUGGAGGGCGGAGAGGGGUACGGCGUGGACCUCACGGGGAGCAGGGAGAUCAAGAUGAUGCCUUUUGGUGCUGGCCGCAGGAUGUGCCCGGGAUACACGCUUGGCAUGCUGCACGUGGAGUACUUCGUCGGCAGCCUCGUGAGGGAGCUGGAGUGGCUUCCGGCGGUGGAGGGGCAGGAGGUGGACAUGACCGAGGAACUGGAUUUCACCACCGUGAUGAAGCAUCCGCUCCGUGCUCGCGUUGUCCCGAGGCCUUGA
This 1485-nucleotide ribosomal RNA is filed under the name Triticum aestivum (bread wheat). RNAcentral's name for it is "partial small subunit ribosomal RNA". The record is from RNAcentral. Lineage: Eukaryota; Viridiplantae; Streptophyta; Magnoliopsida; Poales; Poaceae.